CCUACGGGCGGCAGCAGUGGGGAAUAUUGCACAAUGGGGGGAACCCUGAUGCAGCAACGCCGCGUGGGUGAAGAAGUAUUUCGGUAUGUAAAGCUCUAUCAGCAGGGAAGAAAAUGACGGUACCUGACUAAGAAGCCCCGGCUAACUACGUGCCAGCAGCCGCGGUAAUACGUAGGGGGCAAGCGUUAUCCGGAUUUACUGGGGGGAAAGGGAGCGUAGACGGCUGUGCAAGCCAGAGGUGAAAGCCCGGGGCUCAACCCCGGGACUGCAUUUGGAACUGUGUGGCUGGAGUGUCGGAGAGGCAGGCGGAAUUCCUAGUGUAGCGGUGAAAUGCGUAGAUAUUAGGAGGAACACCAGUGGCGAAGGCGGCCUGCUGGACGAUGACUGACGUUGAGGCUCGAAAGCGUGGGGAGCAAACAGGAUUAGAUACCCGAGUAGUC
RNAcentral lists this ribosomal RNA (440 nucleotides) under uncultured bacterium. RNAcentral describes it as "partial 16S ribosomal RNA". It matches the Rfam family "Bacterial small subunit ribosomal RNA", at positions 338 to 795 of the family's 1533-position model. The record is from RNAcentral.